This 605-nucleotide small RNA is filed under the name Arabidopsis thaliana (thale cress). RNAcentral's name for it is "ATSL275830". The record is from RNAcentral. Lineage: Eukaryota; Viridiplantae; Streptophyta; Magnoliopsida; Brassicales; Brassicaceae.
CUUUAGCAGUCUGUUCUUAUUGCCAGCAUAGUUAGAUUCCGUUAAUGGGAAUUAGUCUUGCUAGCUUUGCUUGAGGAUUUCUAUCACGGGAGUGAAUUGAUCUGUUGUUGAACCUAUUAUCUAGGGAUAGCUUGAUUGCGCUUGUUAACCAUUUGAAUAGGCUAGGAUACCACUCUAUUCGAUUACCCCAUCCUUAGGAAUUUCUCGUCUAUCUGAUUUCUCUGUUUUAUCAUUAUCGCUUCAUCGUUCUCAUUGCCUGUUUCUUAGUUUUUGCAAUUACUCCACCAACUUACUCGACCACACCCAGUGUCUGGCAACAGACUGUGCAGUCGAGUAUAGCUGGUUCAUAUCCUGUCUGUUACUCGACCUGUUACUCGACCACAUCCUACUUCUGGCAUCAGCCUGUUGUGGUCGAGUGAUUUUAGUAAUUCAGUUAUUGUUUCUGUUUUCUGCAUGUUCGCUUAGGACUGUUAGAAACCCCAAAAUUGUUAUUGCUUGGCUUGACUUAGUGACUUCUGAUCACAUAUCAUCUGUUUGCAUCACACCCAUUUGGAUUGACACCCUAAGUACUACGACGACAUGAUAGUGCUAUAGGAUUAAUUGAU